GAUGAACGCUGGCGGCGUGCCUAACACAUGCAAGUCGAGCGAUGAAACCGCCUCCGGGCGGACAUGAAGCGGCGAACGGGUGAGUAACACGUGACCGACCUGCCCCCCGCCCAGGGACAGCCCCCCGAAAGGGGGAUUAAUACCUGGUACUCCGGAAGCGGCGCAUGCCGCGUCCGGGAAAGCUUUCGCGGCGGGGGAUGGGGUCGCGGCCCAUCAGGUAGACGGCGGGGCAGAGGCCCACCGUGCCGACGACGGGUAGCCGGGUUGAGAGACCGACCGGCCACAUUGGGACUGGUACACGGCCCAGACUCCUACGGGAGGCAGCAGUGGGGAAUAUUGCGCAAUGGGGGCAACCCUGACGCAGCAACGCCGCGUGCGGGACGAAGGCGUCCGCGUCGUAAACCGCUUUCAGCGGGGAACACUUCAACGAGGGUACCCGCAGAAGAAGCCCCGGCUAAAUACGUGCCAGCCGCCGCAGUAA
RNAcentral lists this ribosomal RNA (481 nucleotides) under uncultured bacterium. RNAcentral describes it as "partial 16S ribosomal RNA". It matches the Rfam family "Bacterial small subunit ribosomal RNA", at positions 28 to 523 of the family's 1533-position model. The record is from RNAcentral.